UCUCUCUCACAUUUCUCUCUUGCUCAUGACAAGAAAGGAGCCGGCCAUGACUUGAAAUUCGGCCAGCCCCUCCUCUUCAUUUCCUUCUCUUGCAAGCCUUGCCUCCCAACUACCCCAACAAAUAAAUGGGCAGCCACCCACCUUAGCCAAUCAAAAUGGAGGCAGCCACCAUCCUCCCUCUAUAUAAGAGCUUGGCUUGCCACCUCCACUCCCCUUGGCUCAUUUCUUUCACACUCCACUCCCUCAUACCUUCCUCCCCCUUCCUCCCCACGAGCUGCUGCUCCUCCUUAGCUCCAUGGCCAGCCAUGGCCAUGGAAAGCCACCAAGAUGGAGCUCCCCUCCUCCCUCAAGCUUCCCCUCACCAUGAGAGCAUCUCUCUCCCUCUCUUCUCCCCUAAUCUUUGAUGAGUCCAGCUCACUUUAUCCUUUCUCCUCUCACUAAAUUGGAUCUUGAUGCAGGUGCAUGUUGGUCCAAGCAUGGAGAAGGUUGAGCUAUCCUCAGAUCUGAAGUUCUUGAGCAAAAUCCAAAUUGAGUGAUUCAAAGUUCCACAGAUAGGUACUGGAAAGAUCUACAACUUGGCGUUGGUCUCAUCCUCAAAUUAGUUACGGAUUUUGCAUGAUCAAGAUCUGGUCAGAUCUAACUUUGUCGAAUUAAACCAGGAGCUUGGGAACGAAUUUUUGAAUGAAACCAAUUGGGGGAUAAUUGGUUUAUACCAUGGUGAUAAACGAGAGAGGCAAUUGCUAAGUUGUGAUGCACUCAUACCUUUACUAGAUUCGAACAUUAUCGGGUUUGAAGGAGAGGAAGGAUUUGAAGAAUUUGAAGAAGUCCAGGGACAAAUAAGCCAACCAAG
Long non-coding RNA from Lolium perenne, 850 nucleotides. RefSeq lists it as uncharacterized. The record is from RefSeq and is a predicted model, not a curated record. Lineage: Eukaryota; Viridiplantae; Streptophyta; Magnoliopsida; Poales; Poaceae.